Danaus plexippus (monarch butterfly) is the source of this 535-nucleotide long non-coding RNA. RefSeq lists it as uncharacterized. The record is from RefSeq and is a predicted model, not a curated record. The transcript has 2 exons. NCBI's taxonomy places the organism in Eukaryota, Metazoa, Arthropoda, Insecta, Lepidoptera, Nymphalidae.
CAGAAAGAACUACUUGGCAGAAGUCUUUAGGACAGUUAGUAGAUUUAUUGCUAUUACUAUCUUUAUUUGCUUUAAAAUUGUUUGUUAUAAAGACAGGCAACGAUUAUUAUUUAUUACAUGGCAUAUAGUUGUGUGGUAUAUAAUUUAUCUGUGGUAAAACAAUAAUUGCGUGUGAGGGUUUAAACCUGUCAGGUGUGUGUACAAUUUUGUAGUUAUUAGAAAUAUAUAUAAGUGGAUUGUACUGAAUCUAUCUAGUGGAAUAACUUAACCUUCAUAUCGAUCUUUAUGCUAGCUCCAGGGAAUAAACACGCAGAAUGCUAGAAAAAAGCAAAAGGUUCGAAAUAAGGCAAUUUACUUGGAUUCCUGACGUCUAAUCUCAAAAUGCAGAUAAAACAAUGGCGGUAUACUGUAGACUUUCUGUGAACACAGUAAUACCGAAUGAAAUCAGCGAAGACUAUAUUAAAAACAUUGCCGUAGGAAAACAAAGCUAGUGUUUACCAAAUACAAAUAAAUGUGUAAUAAUUAUGUAAUUUAA